GAUGAACGCUGGCGGCGUGCCUAAUACAUGCAAGUCGAGCGAACAGACGAGGAGCUUGCUCCUCUGACGUUAGCGGCGGACGGGUGAGUAACACGUGGAUAACCUACCUAUAAGACUGGGAUAACUUCGGGAAACCGGAGCUAAUACCGGAUAACAUGUUGAACCGCAUGGUUCAACAGUGAAAGACGGUCUUGCUGUCACUUAUAGAUGGAUCCGCGCCGCAUUAGCUAGUUGGUAAGGUAACGGCUUACCAAGGCAACGAUGCGUAGCCGACCUGAGAGGGUGAUCGGCCACACUGGAACUGAGACACGGUCCAGACUCCUACGGGAGGCAGCAGUAGGGAAUCUUCCACAAUGGGCGAAAGCCUGACGGAGCAACGCCGCGUGAGUGAAGAAGGUCUUCGGAUCGUAAAACUCUGUUAUUAGGGAAGAACAAAUGUGUAAGUAACUAUGCACGUCUUGACGGUACCUAAUCAGAAAGCCACGGCUAACUACGU
This 496-nucleotide ribosomal RNA is filed under the name uncultured bacterium. Its description in RNAcentral is "partial 16S ribosomal RNA". It matches the Rfam family "Bacterial small subunit ribosomal RNA", at positions 28 to 506 of the family's 1533-position model. The record is from RNAcentral.